RNAcentral lists this ribosomal RNA (317 nucleotides) under Livia jesoensis. RNAcentral's name for it is "partial 12S ribosomal RNA". The record is from RNAcentral. Lineage: Eukaryota; Metazoa; Arthropoda; Insecta; Hemiptera; Liviidae.
GAGUAGUACUAGAUAUGUUCUUCAAACUUAAAAAAUUUGGCGGUAUUUCAUCUUAUCAGAGGAACCUGUUUAUUAAUUGAUAACCCACAACUUUAGCUACUUUUAUUAAAAUACUUGUAUACCGCUGUCAUGAGUAUAUUUAUAAAUUUAUUUUCGUUAAUUUUUAUGGAAUUUAUGUUAGGUCAAGGUGCAGUUUUUAAAGUUAAAAAUGGGUUACUAUAUAAAUUAUGAAUGAAUUUUGAUUUUUAGUGUCAAAGAAAUAGAAUUUGAAAGUAACUUUGUUAAAGUAACAUAAUGAAUAAAGAUUCUGAAAUAUG